Molecule: ribosomal RNA, 230 nt
Filed under: Vibrio chagasii
Lineage: Bacteria; Pseudomonadati; Pseudomonadota; Gammaproteobacteria; Vibrionales; Vibrionaceae
Description: partial 16S ribosomal RNA
Rfam family: Bacterial small subunit ribosomal RNA
Source: RNAcentral
AAAUUGAAGAGUUUGAUCAUGGCUCAGAUUGAACGCUGGCGGCAGGCCUAACACAUGCAAGUCGAGCGGAAACGAGUUGUCUGAACCUUCAGGGAACGAUAACGGCGUCGAGCGGCGGACGGGUGAGUAAUGCCUAGGAAAUUGCCUUGAUGUGGGGGAUAACCAUUGGAAACGAUGGCUAAUACCGCAUAAUGCCUACGGGCCAAAGAGGGGGACCUUCGGGCCUCUCG